This 564-nucleotide ribosomal RNA is filed under the name Mycobacterium arupense. Its description in RNAcentral is "Mycolicibacter arupensis bacterial SSU rRNA". It matches the Rfam family "Bacterial small subunit ribosomal RNA", at positions 89 to 653 of the family's 1533-position model. The record is from RNAcentral. Lineage: Bacteria; Bacillati; Actinomycetota; Actinomycetes; Mycobacteriales; Mycobacteriaceae.
UCUCGAGUGGCGAACGGGUGAGUAACACGUGGGUGAUCUGCCCUGCACUUUGGGAUAAGCCUGGGAAACUGGGUCUAAUACCGAAUAGGACCACGCGCUUCAUGGUGUGUGGUGGAAAGCUUUUGCGGUGUGGGAUGGGCCCGCGGCCUAUCAGCUUGUUGGUGGGGUAAUGGCCUACCAAGGCGACGACGGGUAGCCGGCCUGAGAGGGUGUCCGGCCACACUGGGACUGAGAUACGGCCCAGACUCCUACGGGAGGCAGCAGUGGGGAAUAUUGCACAAUGGGCGCAAGCCUGAUGCAGCGACGCCGCGUGGGGGAUGACGGCCUUCGGGUUGUAAACCUCUUUCAGUAUCGGCGAAGCUCCAGGAUUCUUCUUGGGGUGACGGUAGGUACAGAAGAAGCACCGGCCAACUACGUGCCAGCAGCCGCGGUAAUACGUAGGGUGCGAGCGUUGUCCGGAAUUACUGGGCGUAAAGAGCUCGUAGGUGGUUUGUCACGUUGUCCGUGAAAACUCACAGCUUAACUGUGGGCGUGCGGGCGAUACGGGCAGACUGGAGUACUGUA